This 1860-nucleotide long non-coding RNA is filed under the name Zostera marina. RNAcentral describes it as "long non-coding RNA (ZMAR_LNC001256)". The record is from RNAcentral. Lineage: Eukaryota; Viridiplantae; Streptophyta; Magnoliopsida; Alismatales; Zosteraceae.
UCCACUCUCGUCAUCAUAUUUUUUGUUCCUUUUUUAUAUCCAUGCAUUUUUGAUUAUUUUCUUAUACUCUUUGGUUUUUAUUUGGAUCUGUUAAUCGUAUUUUCGUUUCAUUUUCUUAGAUCUAUCCUUCUUUUUUCUGCUGGUGUUGAAAAUAUAUGAUUUGUUUAAUUUUUUUUGUUUCUCCUGCUGUUGUUCGGUUUUCUUUAUAUGAUCUGUUAAUCGUAUUUUCUUUCUUUAUUUUCUGCUGGUUUUUUAUUCUCUUUUAUCUUAUUGUGUUGGAAUCGAUUGAUAGAUUGAAUUUAUUGUUGAUGUUUUAUGAAAAUAUUUAACAUUGUACGGUAAAAAUAAGUUUGAGAUUUUUGUUCUGUACUUUGUUUAAUAUUUUCAUGAAAUAUCAAUUAAGAAUUAUAUUCAUCAUUUAUUUAAUUGUUUUUAUACAUAGAUCUGAAUAUAAAAGAAUGGAUUUGUGUUUUGAUUUGUUCGAUUUCCUAGUAUAGAUCUGUUUAUUGUUUUUUUAGUAGUUUUUUUUUUAACAAUCUUCUUAGAUCUUAUUUGUGGUUGAAUAUAUAUUUUUGUUUUGUUUUUUUGUUUUCUCGCUGAUGUUCGAUUUUCCUUGUAUAUAGUUUUGUGAACUGAAGUUUAAUUUUAUUAAAUGUUCAUAAAUUUAUUUUAUUUUAUCUGAUUGUGUUGUAAUCAAUCGUUGUGUUGAAUUUAUUCUUGAUGUUUUACGAAAAUAUUAACAUUGUCCAGUAAAAUAUAUUUGUAUAUUUUUCUGUACGUUGUUUAAUGUUUUCGUAAAAUAUCCAUUGAGAAUGAUAUUCAUUAUCUAUUCAAUUGUUUACCUAUAUGAAAAUCAGAAUAUAAGAGAAGUGUUUUAUGUUUUUAUUGCAAAUUUCAUUUGUGUGGAUUUUGUAAAAUUUAAAGGUCUUCGUUUGCUUGAGUAUCUUUCUUAGAUUCAUAUAUGAAAGAUCCCUCGUUUUAGAUCUGUGUUUUAGAUCGGUGAUGUUCGAUUUUCUUUGUCUUUGUUUCGUUUUAGUAAGUUUUCAAAUAUAUAUUUUAUUUUACAUGAUUGUAUUGGAAAAGAUCGAUGGAUUUGAUUUAUUUUUUAAGUUUUAUGAAAACAUUUAACAUCCUACAGUGAAAAUAAAUUCUUCUGUAUGUUGUUUAAUGUUUUCAUAAAAUCUCAAGUAAAUGAUUGAUAUCCUUCAUCAAUUUUUUUUUCCUUUUCUAUAUGGUGAUCUAGUCAUAUGUUGAAUGUUGUAUAUUUUGAUUGUAUAUUCAAAGGUGAAAUGAUAUGAAUUAUUUAAAAUUCAACAUCUUUGUUUCUUAUAAUUUUUUUUUUCAAUUUUUCUUAAAUUUUUAGUUAUUUUGUUUUUAAUUGUAUGGUUUUUCAAUUGUAUAGUAAUCAUGUCUUCCGAUGUGUUGUCGUUUGGCCUUUCUUCGAUAUGGUGAAGUGGAUUCUGUCGUGUUGGGGCCAGCCAUUCAAGUUAUUUCGCCUUACCUUCUUGUGGACUCUCUUCCUCGUGUGGUGGUCACCUCGGUUCAACUGCUCCCUCUUCUAUUUUUUCGUUGCUUCCCUGUCGGGGCCGUUGGCAUCGGCCACAGUGUGCGUGUCUGAGCUGUCUGCUAUAAAUCUCCGAAACUACAUAUCGUGUAGAGCCAAAUGAAACUGCCAUAAAUCUCCAUUUCUCUUUUCUAAUUAUUUGUAUAUAAUCUUUGUUUUGGACUCUAUCUGCUGUAAUAGCUUAUUUUUUAUCGAAACUUCUUUACUUCUUUUCGUCCGGUUAAUUGAAUUUUUCUUCCGGUUAAUGAAGUAAGAUGAGAUUUUUAUCCACUGUUUAGUCACGAACUCCAUUUCCG